This 331-nucleotide unclassified non-coding RNA is filed under the name soil metagenome. Its description in RNAcentral is "partial contains 5.8S ribosomal RNA, internal transcribed spacer 2, and large subunit ribosomal RNA". The stretch from base 2 to 119 matches the Rfam family "5.8S ribosomal RNA", at positions 37 to 154 of the family's 154-position model. The record is from RNAcentral.
GUGAAGAACGCAGCGAAAUGCGAUAAGUAAUGUGAAUUGCAGAAUUCAGUGAAUCAUCGAAUCUUUGAACGCACAUUGCGCCCGCCAGUAUUCUGGCGGGCAUGCCUGUCCGAGCGUCAUUUCAACCAUCAAGCCCCGGGCUUGUGUUGGGGACCUGCGUCCGACGCAGGCCCUGAAAACCAGUGGCGGGCUCGCUGUCCACACCGAGCGUAGUAACUAACCUCGCUAUGGAGUGGCGCGGGCGCCUGCCGUAAAACCCCCAAUUUCACAAGGUUGACCUCGGAUCAGGUAGGAAUACCCGCUGAACUUAAGCAUAUCAAUAAGCGGAGGA